UCUAAGUGUUUCUUGUUUGUCUUGUUGUUAAAUUAUUUUACUUUUCUAGUGCCCUGUUGUACCCUUGUGCCCUUUCUAAGUGUACAUUAUAAACUGUUUCUUUAUGCAUUCAUUGUAGUAUCUUAACUAGUUUAAUUGUCUUUUUGGUUUAAGUGUGUCUUUUUACUUGUAUAAUUAUUUAUCUUUACUGGUUUUAAGGGCGUAAUGCUUUUCUAAUUAGUCACAUGUUUUUUUCUUUUCUUUUUUUUUUUUUUUUUUUUUUUUUGCAGUUUCUAACAAUGGUUAAUGUGCAUUUGAGUUUCAUCAUGGGGGACAAUGGGCAUUAGAGCCACAACUAAAUUACAUAGACUUUCUUGUUCACAGUAAAAAAGACUAUGAGUUUUACUUGCUUUGUUUAACUGAUUUACUGGCUGAAUAUAAUUGUAACCAUGGGUAUAUUGGUUGCAACAACUCAUGGUGAAAGCUCAGGUAGAUACUAUGAAGUAGAAGGGGAUGAUGAGAUUAGGACUUUGUUGGAUUUUAUUAGCCCACAAUAUAAUGUUAUCAACAUAUUUGUUGUAAAAGAGUCUGAAUUAGGUAUUGUUGUACCUAAUAUAAUCCAUCACAAUGAAUAUCACCUAGAUGAAUAUGAUGAUGCCUCUGAACUUGAAGCAGCCUCUGAAUAUAGUUCAGAUGACAGUGAUUAUGAUGGAAUGAAAUCUCCAGAUUCUUCAGAUUAUGAUUCUGAUAUGCUAGACUCACUUUUUAAGCAGAAGAAGUGAGAUAUUAAUGAAAAGUUGACAAACUAUAUGGAGUUGGUGCAUCCAUGACAUUUAGAGACAUCGAUGAAGCUAGGAAAGUAAUCAAUAUAUAUGCUCUUGCAAAUGGCUAUGGGUUAAAACAACUCAUAAGUGACACUAUAAGGCUUAGGUAUCUAUGUGAAGGUGAUUGUCCUUUUGUCUGUCAUAUAUCUAAGGAUAAAUUAGGGGGUGGGUUUACUUUCAAGACCUUAGUUACUGAACACACUUGUGAGCUUGCAUUUGAGAAUCAUAAAGUUGAUGCCAAUAUAAUAGCUGCAUACUUUAAGAGAGCGCUACCAGAUAAUCCAAAUAUUAAGCUUAAAGAUAUGAGGACAAGCUUGAAAGCUACAUUUAAUAUUAAUGUUAGUGACUCAAAGUGUAAGAGGGCCAAGAGAAUGAUUCUGGAGAAGCUUGAUGGUAAUUUUAAUGAUGAAUAUAACAAGCUUGUGGCUUAUGCCAAUGAACUGAAGUUGAGUAAUCCUGGAAGUGAUGUGAUAAUUAACUUUUCAAAGGAUGCUCUUGCUGAAGGAAAAAGAAGGUUUUCAAGGAUUUAUAUUUGUUUUGAUGCAAUGAAGAGGGGUUUAAGAGUGGGCUGAGACCUUUUAUAGGCUUAGACAAGACUUUUUUGAAAGGAAAGGCUAAAGGUUAGUAACGUUAGUAACAGUUGCUCAAGACUCUACAAACCACUUUUAUCCAUUAGUUUGGGUUGUUGUGGAUAAAGAAACAAAAGUGUUUUGGAACUAGGUCUUAAGUCAGCUACAAAUGUCAUUGGACCUUGGAAUGGGUGAAGGAGUUACUCUUAUAUCACAUAUGCAGAAGGGGUUGAUUUAUUCAAUCCAGAAAGUUCUUCUUGAGGCCCACUUCAGAUUCUAUGUUAAACACAUAGAAGAAAAUUAGUGCAAGAAAUAUGAGUUUGGGGAGUACAAGAAGUAUCUUUGGUAGGCUACAUGGAGUUCAUAUGAAGAGGAUUACCAAGAUCCACUAGAUAGUAUGAAGCUAGUGGAUGAUGAUGGUCAGGCUGCUGUUGAUGAUCUUUUGAAUUAUCCACCAGAAAAAUGAAAUAUGCCAUUCUUUGAUAUUAUUUGCAAGAACCAGUUAGUGGACAAUAACCUAACUGAGUCCUUCAAUGGAUGGAUUUUGGAAGCUAGACACAAGACAAUUAUAAAGAUGUUUGAGGAUAUUAGGAUUAUGUUAAUGACAUCUAAACUUUUGUUCUUCCUUAGUUUUUUUACUUUCUAUGUAUACUUAAUUUUUUUUCCAUCAAGGCGAUGAACAUGUUGCAUGAAAAUGAAGCUGCUGCUAUUGGUUGGGAUAUGGAGUACAGUCCAAAGACUAUGCUUUUAAAUAACUAGUUCAUAAGAAUUGCACAAUAAAUGUCAUGUCAAUGGAAGUGCAGACAAUGGGUUUGAGGUGACUGAAGGUGGUGACAGACAUAUUGUGAAUUUAGGGUUAAGGAGAUGCCCUUGCAGGACAUGAGGCCUUUGUGGAAUCCCAUGUCCUCAUGCAACUUGUGCCCUGCUGUACAAGAAGCUUGAACCUCUAUAUUGGAUGCAUUGGUAUCUGUCCAAAGAAGCAUAUCUCCUAUGAGAAUAAGUUACAGUCAGUUAGAGGAGAGAAAUUAUGGAAAAUACAUCCCUCACAAUACCCGGAGCACCAAAUAUAGUAAGAAUGGCUGGAAGGCCAAACGUUAAGAGGACAAGAGAAAAAAAAGAAGUUGUUAGUAGGCAAGGACAUUGGUCUCAAACAAGAAAAAUGAGGGUUAUGAGUACUACUUGUGGAGAACCUGAACAUAAUGCUAGGGGAUGUGACAAGCAUUCUAAAGGAAAGAAGCCCAUUGGCAAAACAAAGUGCAUGCCAAGAAAGAAGAAAAGAAGUUUUAUUGAUAAGCCUGCUAAUGAUGAACAGACCCCAGCUGGUACAGAUCUAGGGCAGUGCAGUUCACAACCCAACUUUUUUCCAGCAGAUCCAAGAGGUGUCUAGCCUCAAUGGCAAUUACUUCUUCUUUCAAUUUGUCUCGUUCUAUCUUAACCGCGACAUCGUUAAAUCUUGAACAUUAGUCCAAUCGCUUUUCGGGAACAAAGCAUCUUUCCAUUCCCAAAAUCUACAUAACCUAGCCUAUCCAAACAAUACAACUUAGUUGAACAUUAUGAAGCUAAUAGUGUAGAUUCAAGUAACGAUAAAGUUUGAAUGAAAAUUGUGAAGCACAAAAUUUAACCUA
This is a long non-coding RNA of Lycium ferocissimum, 2997 nucleotides long. RefSeq lists it as uncharacterized. NCBI's taxonomy places the organism in Eukaryota, Viridiplantae, Streptophyta, Magnoliopsida, Solanales, Solanaceae. The record is from RefSeq and is a predicted model, not a curated record. The transcript has 3 exons.